AUGAUGAUGGCCUAUAGUAAGCCAAAAUGACAGAUGAUCGAUUUUCAUACAAAAUUGUGGACCUUCGCCUCAGUGAUGGUCACCAACGCCUCCACUUCCAUCUAUUUGGUAAAGUAGUCAAUCGCGAUGAGCAAGCAAGAAUUUUUUUUAUGCCACCAUGAUGGAAAAAGGCCCCAGGAUGUCCAUUCCCCACUGGACAAAGGGCCAAGAUGUGGUAAUUGGAGCCAAAGGGGUCGA
RNAcentral lists this long non-coding RNA (237 nucleotides) under Elaeis guineensis (African oil palm). Its description in RNAcentral is "long non-coding RNA (EGUI_LNC047228)". Lineage: Eukaryota; Viridiplantae; Streptophyta; Magnoliopsida; Arecales; Arecaceae. The record is from RNAcentral.